This 23-nucleotide microRNA is filed under the name Equus caballus (horse). Its description in RNAcentral is "eca-miR-9155". The record is from miRBase by way of RNAcentral. Lineage: Eukaryota; Metazoa; Chordata; Mammalia; Perissodactyla; Equidae.
UCCAUGCUUCUGUAGGUCGGCGG